This 71-nucleotide transfer RNA is filed under the name Actinomycetes bacterium. RNAcentral describes it as "Actinobacteria bacterium tRNA-Gly". It matches the Rfam family "tRNA". Rfam says of the family: Transfer RNA (tRNA) molecules are approximately 80 nucleotides in length. The record is from RNAcentral. Lineage: Bacteria; Bacillati; Actinomycetota; Actinomycetes.
GCGCCCGUGGUGUAGUGGUAGCACCGGAGGCUUCCAAUCUCCUGGCGCCGGUUCGAACCCGGCCGGGCGCU